Molecule: small nuclear RNA, 180 nt
Filed under: Erythrobasidium hasegawianum
Lineage: Eukaryota; Fungi; Basidiomycota; Cystobasidiomycetes; Erythrobasidiales; Erythrobasidiaceae
Description: U1 small nuclear RNA
Source: RNAcentral
AUACUUACCUGCAGACUUCAACGGCGGCUCACGAAACGUUGUUGGAUACCUCAGUCACUUCGCAUUGCACGGCGACUCAAACCCAUAGUCCCACGAAGUAACUGGGGUAGAAGUUCUCCUUUGGGGGAUUUCAUCUGGAAAUAUUUCCUUUGGUCUUGUUGGCUUCGGCCCUCGAGACCC